This 253-nucleotide ribosomal RNA is filed under the name uncultured bacterium. RNAcentral's name for it is "partial 16S ribosomal RNA". It matches the Rfam family "Bacterial small subunit ribosomal RNA", at positions 524 to 776 of the family's 1533-position model. The record is from RNAcentral.
UACGUAGGGUGCAAGCGUUGUCCGGAAUUAUUGGGCGUAAAGAGCUCGUAGGCGGUUUGUCGCGUCUGCUGUGAAAACUCGGGGCUUAACCCCGGGCCUGCAGUGGGUACGGGCAGACUAGAGUGUGGUAGGGGAGAGCGGAACUCCUGGUGGAGCGGUGAAAUGCGUAGAUAUCAGGAGGAACACCGGUGGCGAAGGCGGCUCUCUGGUCCACAACUGACGCUGAUGUGCGAAAGCUAGGGGAGCAAACGGG